Molecule: RNase P RNA, 392 nt
Filed under: Sphingomonas horti
Lineage: Bacteria; Pseudomonadati; Pseudomonadota; Alphaproteobacteria; Sphingomonadales; Sphingomonadaceae
Also listed under: 1 other name
Description: Sphingomonas sp. MAH-20 RNase P RNA component class A
Rfam family: Bacterial RNase P class A
About the family: Ribonuclease P (RNase P) is a ubiquitous endoribonuclease, found in archaea, bacteria and eukarya as well as chloroplasts and mitochondria. Its best characterised activity is the generation of mature 5'-ends of tRNAs by cleaving the 5'-leader elements of precursor-tRNAs.
Source: RNAcentral
CCAGAGGGUCGGGCGGCCGCGUCGCAUUUCGGUGCGCCGAGGAAAGUCCGGGCUCCACGGAACGACGGUGCCGGGUAACGCCCGGCGGUCCUGCGCAAGCGGGGCCAGGGACAGUGCCACAGAAAGCAGACCGCCCAAUCUCUCGGGAUGAAGCCUUCGGGCGGGCAAGGGCGAAAGGGUGGGGCAAGAGCCCACCGCGGCUCCGGCAACGGAGACGGCACGGCAAACCCCACCGGGAGCAAGACCGAAUAGGGGCGGCAGAUGGGCCUGUUCCGGCUCGUCGCCCGGGUUGGUUGCUGGAGGCUGUCGGCAACGGCAGCCCGAGAGGAAUGGCCGCACAUCCCGGAUCAGGUCCGGGAGGACAGAACCCGGCUUACAGACCCUCUGGCACU